UACGUAGGGUGCGAGCGUUAAUCGGAAUUACUGGGCGUAAAGAGUGCGCAGGUGGCCGCGCAAGUCGGGUGUGAAAUCCCCGAGCUUAACUUGGGAAUUGCGCUCGAAACUACGUGGCUCGAGUGUGGCAGAGGAAGGUGGAAUUCCACGUGUAGCGGUGAAAUGCGUAGAGAUGUGGAGGAACACCGAUGGCGAAGGCAGCCUUCUGGGCCAACACUGACGCUCAUGCGCGAAAGCGUGGGGAGCAAACAGG
This 253-nucleotide ribosomal RNA is filed under the name uncultured bacterium. Its description in RNAcentral is "partial 16S ribosomal RNA". It matches the Rfam family "Bacterial small subunit ribosomal RNA", at positions 524 to 776 of the family's 1533-position model. The record is from RNAcentral.